AGCUACUACAAUGUUUAUGGAGGGGCAACUGCUCAGCAUCCGAUGUAUAGCACCGGACCAAUGACUGGUGUCGCAGCAGCAGCAGCAGCGUACUACCCAUAUCUCCAGUUUGCUGAAGGAAAUGGCCCCGUCACUGGUUAUGCUCCUCUCCACUACCCCAACCACAUGUUUCACUAUUCCACUGGGGGAAACUACCCACACCACAAUGGUGUUAAAUAAUGUCAUGUUUUUGUUUUUGCAUAAAGCAAAUGUUAAGAGAAGGACGUUCUCAUGGUGUUGUGUGUUUGGCAGGACACGUAGGAGGAGGCAGAGGCGUGAAGGUAACAAGCCCUUUCAAGACACACUUUGGGAGUGCAGCUGCUCUUCCUUCCCCAAUUCCAUUCUCUCACUACACACUUCCUUACACUAAUCCUUAUGGGUACUCCACCUUUAAUCUCUUACCUCAUCUCUCUAAACAGACUUAUAAUCCUCUGUUUAAACUUCAUAGGUUCUCUUCGUACUCAAUGGAUUACAACUACCCCACGGUAUGUAUAUUUUGUUUUUCUCCAUCUAAUUCUAUAAUAAGUAUUGAGUAUUUUCUCUACUCUCCCUCGUAUCUCAUAUAGCUUAUUUGGUUUCUGUUUAUAAACAGAGCUACUACAAUGUUUAUGGAGGAGCAACUGCUCAGCAUCCGAUGUAUAGCACCGGACCAAUGACUGGUAUCGCAGCAGCAGCAGCAGCGUACUACCCAUAUCUCCAGUUUGCUGAAGGAAAUGGACCCGUCACUGGUUAUGCUCCUCUCCACUACCCCAACCACAUGUUUCACUAUUCCACUGGGGGAAACUACCCACA
RNAcentral lists this long non-coding RNA (831 nucleotides) under Brassica napus (rape). RNAcentral's name for it is "long non-coding RNA (BNAP_LNC009842)". The record is from RNAcentral. Lineage: Eukaryota; Viridiplantae; Streptophyta; Magnoliopsida; Brassicales; Brassicaceae.